This 256-nucleotide long non-coding RNA is filed under the name Medicago truncatula (barrel medic). RNAcentral describes it as "long non-coding RNA (MTRU_LNC005005)". Lineage: Eukaryota; Viridiplantae; Streptophyta; Magnoliopsida; Fabales; Fabaceae. The record is from RNAcentral.
CUUUUUCAUCUGUUGACCAUGCACUUUUUGCUUUGACAGCUCCUUCUUUGGUUGUUGGAACAAAGUCUCCAUCUGUGAUGACUGCCCACAUAUCAUUGUCUUGAGAUCUGAGAAAGAGUUCCAUCUUGCCUUUCCAGAAGUAGUAGUUUGAUCCAUCAAAGAGUGGUGGUCUAUUUGAAGAUCCUCCUUCAGCUAUGUACUUGACUUUAGACAUACUUCCUGAAUCUUUUCUCUAACACUUGUUUAAGUGUUCAAA